UCCGCCAUGGUGUAGUGGCUAGCAUUUCAGACUCUCAUUCAAGCUUCGGCUUGGGAACUCUGAGAACCCGGGUUCAAUUCCCGGUGGCGGAA
Molecule: non-coding RNA, 92 nt
Organism: Peziza echinospora
Lineage: Eukaryota; Fungi; Ascomycota; Pezizomycetes; Pezizales; Pezizaceae
Source: the annotation of a GenBank genome assembly